Molecule: ribosomal RNA, 473 nt
Filed under: uncultured bacterium
Lineage: Bacteria
Description: bacterial SSU rRNA
Rfam family: Bacterial small subunit ribosomal RNA
Source: RNAcentral
ACUCCUACGGGAGGCAGCAGUAGGGAAUUUUCCGCAAUGGACGAAAGUCUGACGGAGCAAUGCCGCGUGAGUGAUGAAGGUUUUCGAAUCGUAAAGCUCUGUUGUAAGGGAAGAAUAGCAAGAAUAGGAAAUGAUUCUUGUCUGACGGUACCUUACCAGAAAGCCACGGCUAACUACGUGCCAGCAGCCGCGGUAAUACGUAGGUGGCAAGCGUUAUCCGGAAUUAUUGGGCGUAAAGCGCAUGUAGGCGGCUUUUUAAGUCUGAUGUGAAAGCCAGUGGCUCAACCACUGAAUUGCAUUGGAUACUGGAAAGCUAGAAUCUUGGAGAGGUAAGUGGAAUUUCAUGUGUAGCGGUGGAAUGCGUAGAGAUCUGAAGGAAUACCGGUGGCGAAGGCGGCCCCCUGGACAGAUACUGACACUCAGAUGCGAAAGCGUGGGGAGCAAACAGGAUUAGAUACCCUGGUAGCGAGUAG